AGUAACACGUGGGUAACCUACCUAUAAGACUGGGAUAACUUCGGGAAACCGGAGCUAAUACCGGAUAACAUUUGGAACCGCAUGGUUCUAAAGUGAAAGAUGGUUUUGCUAUCACUUAUAGAUGGACCCGCGCCGUAUUAGCUAGUUGGUAAGGUAACGGCUUACCAAGGCGACGAUACGUAGCCGACCUGAGAGGGUGAUCGGCCACACUGGAACUGAGACACGGUCCAGACUCCUACGGGAGGCAGCAGUAGGGAAUCUUCCGCAAUGGGCGAAAGCCUGACGGAGCAACGCCGCGUGAGUGAUGAAGGGUUUCGGCUCGUAAAACUCUGUUAUUAGGGAAGAACAAAUGUGUAAGUAACUGUGCACGUCUUGACGGUACCUAAUCAGAAAGCCACGGCUAACUACGUGCCAGCAGCCGCGGUAAUACGUAGGUGGCAAGCGUUAUCCGGAAUUAUUGGGCGUAAAGCGCGCGUAGGCGGUUUCUUAAGUCUGAUGUGAAAGCCCACGGCUCAACCGUGGAGGGUCAUUGGAAACUGGGAAACUUGAGUGCAGAAGAGGAAAGUGGAAUUCCAUGUGUAGCGGUGAAAUGCGCAGAGAUAUGGAGGAACACCAGUGGCGAAGGCGACUUUCUGGUCUGUAACUGACGCUGAUGUG
This 657-nucleotide ribosomal RNA is filed under the name Staphylococcus saprophyticus. Its description in RNAcentral is "bacterial SSU rRNA". It matches the Rfam family "Bacterial small subunit ribosomal RNA", at positions 109 to 753 of the family's 1533-position model. Lineage: Bacteria; Bacillati; Bacillota; Bacilli; Caryophanales; Staphylococcaceae. The record is from RNAcentral.